Molecule: ribosomal RNA, 27 nt
Filed under: Phellodon melaleucus
Lineage: Eukaryota; Fungi; Basidiomycota; Agaricomycetes; Thelephorales; Thelephoraceae
Description: partial 28S ribosomal RNA
Source: RNAcentral
UGACAAAUUCGACCUCAAAUCAGGUAG